CCUACGGGGGGCAGCAGUGAGGAAUAUUGGUCAAUGGGCGCGAGCCUGAACCAGCCAAGUCGCGUGAGGGAUGAAGGUUCUAUGGAUCGUAAACCUCUUUUAUAAGGGAAUAAAGUGUGGGACGUGUCCUAUUUUGUAUGUACCUUAUGAAUAAGGAUCGGCUAACUCCGUGCCAGCAGCCGCGGUAAUACGGAGGAUCCGAGCGUUAUCCGGAUUUAUUGGGUUUAAAGGGUGCGUAGGCGGCCUUUUAAGUCAGCGGGGAAAGUUUGUGGAUCAACCAAUGAAUUGCCGGUGAAACUGGGGGGCUUGAGUAGGUUUGAGGCAGGCGGAAUGCGUGGUGUAGCGGUGAAAUGCUUAGAUAUCACGCAGAACCCCGAUUGCGAAGGCAGCCUGCCAAGCCAUGACUGACGCUGAUGCACGAAAGCGUGGGGAUCAAACAGGAUUAGAUACCCCUGGUAGUC
RNAcentral lists this ribosomal RNA (461 nucleotides) under uncultured bacterium. RNAcentral's name for it is "partial 16S ribosomal RNA". It matches the Rfam family "Bacterial small subunit ribosomal RNA", at positions 338 to 795 of the family's 1533-position model. The record is from RNAcentral.